Molecule: long non-coding RNA, 546 nt
Organism: Mustela erminea (ermine)
Lineage: Eukaryota; Metazoa; Chordata; Mammalia; Carnivora; Mustelidae
Exons: 3
Source: RefSeq, a predicted model, not a curated record
CAAGAAUCUUCGUGAACUUCUUGUCCCACUAAAAUAAUAAAAAUACUGGGAAAACAACCAAAAGUAACCAUUUCACAACUCUGAAAAUUAACCAAAGCUACAGAACAAACUGAAAAUUAAGAGAACUACUGAACCUCGAACCGCAUCCAGAUGGAGGCUGUUUGACGUAAGCAAAUUUUCUAAGAAGUUUUUAUGAAUAAGAAAAAAAAAAAAGAAUAGAAGUCACAAAACCGGAAAAUGAAAACAUCUCUCUGCAUAUAUGGCGACUGGAGAAUAAUGCUUAGGGACCUCUUUAAAACAGCACAUGUCCUCACUGAGAUAAUGUUAGCUACCACGCUACCCUUUUACAUACAUUCCACGUUACUAGGGAAAACAGUAUCUCCACGCAGUGAAGUCACACACUGAAACGUGUGCCGGCACUUAUGCCAUUUAACUGAAGUAUUUUGUUCUUACUUGGAAUUGGGCGAAAUAAUUCAUCUCUUUCUUCAAUCUCCUCAGCUGUUGGUGUUGCAUUUAAAGCUGUUAAGACAAUAAAGUGGUGUUAUG